CAGUGGCCCUCGAGGACUGGAAUUGGCCACCCCUGGAUUACACCCUGUCAGGUGCUGCAGCAUCACUUCAUCAUGAUGCACCACUUGGAAAGCUUGUUUAAGGUCCUGCUUUGAGAUGAUGCAUGUCUGUCAGAACAAAACUCCAAUUCCUGACGAGAGAGACGGCUGGUUGCGGGUCCCUGCAACAACCUCUCUCCAGGGUCAGCUGUCCCCCCAAAGAGUGAGGAGAGAGGAAGUGGUGGAGGGUUGGGUGAAGUGUGAGCCCUCUCAUGGACAUGAGUGUGGAAUCGGUGGACGGUUGGAUGAAGUGUGAGUCCUCCAGAGAACGAACCGAACUAGGGCCCCUCCCUGCUGCAGCACUCCUCCUUUUAAGGCCUCCCUCUCCAUCUCUGGGUGAUGCUGACCCCCGUGCUGACGACCUCCUUCCUCAUCAGAUGGAACCGGCAGCUGCAGCUCCUCUACCUUUCCAGUUGUCAUGUUCACAAAAGAUAACGCCUCAAAACACUUCAUUGUGUGGUGAAAAGAAACUCCUUUCUUUUAUUGGAUGUUUAAUGGCAUUUUACUUUUUAUUUCUAGGUUACUGAUGUGGUAUUUUAGUGCCUCAGGGCAGAUGAAAUUAGAAUUGCUGUUCACUGGAGAAAUGUCUCCCCUUAGAGGAAGAGAAACUAGACAGAAAGGAGGAUCUUCAUGCCAGAUGGAAAUUUGCACAGUGGUCUGCACGAUGUGCCCUUCCUGUUGAACUAGGGCCCCUUAAUGGAGCAACGGUUAUCCCCUAUGGCCCUUCCCUACUCUAUAGCCUGGUCACAUGUUUCCCCAUUGUGCAAUCUUGUCACAGCACCACCACCCUGGUAUUACGCCAAUGUCAGUAACAUAUAGUGAAUAAAAAUGAUAAGGUAUAACAAAUCAAGAUUAACACAUUGGAUAGCAUAAGACAUUAGGGUAUGAAAAAUCAACAACAAUCAGCAGAUUACUGUCUCUUAUUUGAUUACUCUCUUCCUUUGAAUGAUUUUUAUUGAUUCAACAAUAUGGCUAAUGGCCUUAUGUGAAGUCAACACAACUAAUACAAACGGUUAUGUAAGAAACUUAAUGAAUGUCAUAAUAAACAAUCACACUACUGAACUCCAGUGAUUAGAAACAAUACAAUCAAUUACAUUUCGUACUUUUGUAACAUAAACUUCAAAUGAUUAUAGGUAAGAAUCAAAAUAAUCACACGGUUAAAAUAUAUAAGGUAACUUGUAUUGAUUAUAUGGUACAGCAAACUAUCACUAACUCUGGGUCUAUGCAUUAAAGCUAUUUCUGAUUAAACUACAACUAUGAGUAAAAAUAGCACUGCACUUUAUGCGUAAAAUAUAACUUUAUUGUACCCCUUCUCAUGGAAUAAUGCGAGGUAGUUUUUGUUUAAAUGAUGCUGUUCACCACCUGACACAACAGACAAUAGUUAGCAGCACUUAGGAUAAAUGACUAGGGUCAUUUAUCAAUUUUAUGCCCUCAGGCCACAAGAAGACAUAAGACAGGAAGAAUACAGCAAGCUGCUGGUGUUUUGCAAGUCAUGAGAGUCAGCAGAUCUCACACAUUCUCAGCACCCACAACAGUAGGCACGCCCAAACUGCUUUGCCAAGCCAUCCCAUCACACCUUCCGACCACAGCUCCACUCGUGAGGUCUGGUGUGAUGAGGGCUACAUGCUCAGUGGACAGGACUAGAUAUGCUGUGACCACAACAGCCAGUGGGCAGCCAGUGUCCCAGCAUGCAAAAGUGAAGUGACCAUCAUUAUCUCAGACUAAUAAAAAUGUGUGACUUCCUUUGUUGUACUAUUUGAACCCUGUUAAUAGAUUGACUGACUGCCAUGUUUUACUGAUACUUAGUCGGCCUCAGUGUGUAGUCACAACCUGUCCCAGGCUGUGCAGCAGAUUAGAUGCAGGUCACACCUGUUUACACUUUACUUCACACUCAUUUAUGUUUGUAUUGCAAACAACACUGCCAUUCAAUGUGUGUAGGCAGGUGCUGUUUCCCCUAACUAUAAAUUAUGUCAGUGUGAUUAUUCAUACUGCCACCUCAUGUUCAUGGUAUGUUAAAUAUUAGUUCAAACUGACAUAUCCCAUACAGACACUGAUUUACUCUGAAUGGCCAUUUUGUGACUGAUGUCUGUAUUCCACCACUGUAAAAAAAUAAAAAAAUGCU
This is a long non-coding RNA of Monopterus albus (swamp eel), 2179 nucleotides long. RefSeq lists it as uncharacterized. NCBI's taxonomy places the organism in Eukaryota, Metazoa, Chordata, Actinopteri, Synbranchiformes, Synbranchidae. The record is from RefSeq and is a predicted model, not a curated record. The transcript has 3 exons.